This 520-nucleotide ribosomal RNA is filed under the name Trigonopterus albidosparsus. RNAcentral describes it as "partial 16S ribosomal RNA". Lineage: Eukaryota; Metazoa; Arthropoda; Insecta; Coleoptera; Curculionidae. The record is from RNAcentral.
UCAGAUCAUGUAAAAUUUUAAGGGUCGAACAGACCCAAUUUAUUAGCUUCUGCGCCAAUAAUUAAUUUUAAUCCAACAUCGAGGUCGCAAUCUUUUUUUUUGAUAAGAACUCUAAAAAAAAUUACGCUGUUAUCCCUAAGGUAAUUUAAUCUUAUAAUCUAAAAAUUAGGAUCACUUAAUCAAAAAUAAAUGUUUUAAUACAAAAAAAAGUUUACUUAAUUUUUCUAUCACCCCAAUAAAAUAUUUCUAUAUAUGCAUUAAAUUUUAAAAUCCUAAAAUUUUUUUUUAAUAAAAAUAUAAAACUCUAUAGGGUCUUCUCGUCUUCUAUCUAAAUUUAAGCUUUUUAACUUAAAAAUAAAAUUCUAAAAAAUUCCUAUAGAGACAGUCUUUUUUUCAUCAAACCUUUCAUACAAGCUCUCAAUUAAAAAACUAAUGACUAUGCUACCUUUGCACGGUCAAAAUACCGCGGCCGUUAAAACCCUUUCACUGGGCAGGUCAGACUUGAAAUUAUAAUCAACAA